RNAcentral lists this ribosomal RNA (510 nucleotides) under uncultured bacterium. RNAcentral's name for it is "partial 16S ribosomal RNA". It matches the Rfam family "Bacterial small subunit ribosomal RNA", at positions 28 to 507 of the family's 1533-position model. The record is from RNAcentral.
GACGAACGCUGGCGGCGUGCUUAACACAUGCAAGUCGAACGAAGAGCGAUGGAAGCUUGCUUCUAUCAAUCUUAGUGGCGAACGGGUGAGUAACGCGUAAUCAACCUGCCCUUCAGAGGGGGACAACAGUUGGAAACGACUGCUAAUACCGCAUACGAUCUAAUCUCGGCAUCGAGGAAAGAUGAAAGGUGGCCUCUAUUUAUAAGCUAUCACUGAAGGAGGGGAUUGCGUCUGAUUAGCUAGUUGGAGGGGUAACGGCCCACCAAGGCGAUGAUCAGUAGCCGGUCUGAGAGGAUGGACGGCCACAUUGGGACUGAGACACGGCCCAGACUCCUACGGGAGGCAGCAGUGGGGAAUCUUCCGCAAUGGACGAAAGUCUGACGGAGCAACGCCGCGUGAGUGAGGACGGCCUUCGGGUUGUAAAGCUCUGUUAAUCGGGACGAAAGGCCUUCUUGCGAACAGUUAGAAGGAUUGACGGUACCGGAAUAGAAAGCCACGGCUAACUACGUG